UUUUUCUUGAUGUCUCACCCAUAAUCAAAACAACCUAAGGAAUAUAUGUAGCAUUGAUGAGUAGAAGCGCUGAUGGAGAAAUUGAUUGAGCAUCUAGACCCGAGGAAGAGCUGGGUCAAGGAACUAACAAAACGGGUCUGUGUAUAAGCAGGUGGAGAAUUCGAUGGUUCUUAGCAUCCAAAAUCAUGUUUCUUAAAACCUAAACCCCAUUAUUGUCACCUUCUUCCGCACUUCAGUCAUUUUCACUUCGCUUCUCCGAAGGCUUAAGUAUAGUUUUAGCUCAAAAAUGGCUUGGCGCAGUGGAAGAUUGCUCGCGCUUACGCUUAUCUCCACGGCUAGGGCUCCAUCUCACGUAUCCUCGUUGAUGAUCCCCCGCAUCCGUCUCCCUCCCACUGCCUCCCCCCGACUCCAGUCUCAUCAUAUUGUCUAUUAUUUUGAACUAUUUG
Molecule: unclassified non-coding RNA, 446 nt
Filed under: Hevea brasiliensis (rubber tree)
Lineage: Eukaryota; Viridiplantae; Streptophyta; Magnoliopsida; Malpighiales; Euphorbiaceae
Source: RNAcentral